UAGUACGUUAUUAUUGACUGGUAUUGUGAACAUAAUUGGUAUGUAGGAUUUAAUUCAAAGAACGAGUUUGUUUAAGUGUAAUCUACGCACGAGGCAAGUUUCUAAACCUUAUCUUGUUACAUUGAGCAAGUUUUCUAACUCUACAUUUACGUUGAGCAAGUUUCUUACCCUAAACUUUCGUUGAGCAAGUUUCCUAACCCU
Molecule: long non-coding RNA, 201 nt
Filed under: Panax ginseng (ginseng)
Lineage: Eukaryota; Viridiplantae; Streptophyta; Magnoliopsida; Apiales; Araliaceae
Description: long non-coding RNA (PGIN_LNC006637)
Source: RNAcentral